Molecule: ribosomal RNA, 2905 nt
Filed under: Escherichia albertii
Lineage: Bacteria; Pseudomonadati; Pseudomonadota; Gammaproteobacteria; Enterobacterales; Enterobacteriaceae
Description: 23S ribosomal RNA
Rfam family: Bacterial large subunit ribosomal RNA
Source: RNAcentral
GGUUAAGCGACUAAGCGUACACGGUGGAUGCCCUGGCAGUCAGAGGCGAUGAAGGACGUGCUAAUCUGCGAAAAGCGUCGGUAAGGUGAUAUGAACCGUUAUAACCGGCGAUGUCCGAAUGGGGAAACCCAGUGUGUUCCGACACACUAUCAUUAACUGAAUCCAUAGGUUAAUGAGGCGAACCGGGGGAACUGAAACAUCUAAGUACCCCGAGGAAAAGAAAUCAACCGAGAUUCCCCCAGUAGCGGCGAGCGAACGGGGAGGAGCCCAGAGCCUGAAUCAGUGUGUGUGUUAGUGGAAGCGUCUGGAAAGGCGCGCGAUACAGGGUGACAGCCCCGUACACAAAAAUGCACAUAUUGUGAGCUCGAUGAGUAGGGCGGGACACGUGGUAUCCUGUCUGAAUAUGGGGGGACCAUCCUCCAAGGCUAAAUACUCCUGACUGACCGAUAGUGAAGCAGUACCGUGAGGGAAAGGCGAAAAGAACCCCGGCGAGGGGAGUGAAAAAGAACCUGAAACCGUGUACGUACAAGCAGUGGGAGCCCUGAUUUAUCAGGGUGACUGCGUACCUUUUGUAUAAUGGGUCAGCGACUUAUAUUCUGUAGCAAGGUUAACCGAAUAGGGGAGCCGGAGGGAAACCGAGUCUUAACUGGGCGUUAAGUUGCAGGGUAUAGACCCGAAACCCGGUGAUCUAGCCAUGGGCAGGUUGAAGGUUGGGUAACACUAACUGGAGGACCGAACCGACUAAUGUUGAAAAAUUAGCGGAUGACUUGUGGCUGGGGGUGAAAGGCCAAUCAAACCGGGAGAUAGCUGGUUCUCCCCGAAAGCUAUUUAGGUAGCGCCUCGUGAAUUCAUCUCCGGGGGUAGAGCACUGUUUCGGCAAGGGGGUCAUCCCGACUUACCAACCCGAUGCAAACUGCGAAUACCGGAGAAUGUUAUCACGGGAGACACACGGCGGGUGCUAACGUCCGUCGUGAAGAGGGAAACAACCCAGACCGCCAGCUAAGGUCCCAAAGUCAUGGUUAAGUGGGAAACGAUGUGGGAAGGCCCAGACAGCCAGGAUGUUGGCUUAGAAGCAGCCAUCAUUUAAAGAAAGCGUAAUAGCUCACUGGUCGAGUCGGCCUGCGCGGAAGAUGUAACGGGGCUAAACCAUGCACCGAAGCUGCGGCAGCGACGCUGAUGCGUUGUUGGGUAGGGGAGCGUUCUGUAAGCCUGUGAAGGUGGCCUGUGAGGGUUGCUGGAGGUAUCAGAAGUGCGAAUGCUGACAUAAGUAACGAUAAAGCGGGUGAAAAGCCCGCUCGCCGGAAGACCAAGGGUUCCUGUCCAACGUUAAUCGGGGCAGGGUGAGUCGACCCCUAAGGCGAGGCCGAAAGGCGUAGUCGAUGGGAAACAGGUUAAUAUUCCUGUACUUGGUGUUACUGCGAAGGGGGGACGGAGAAGGCUAUGUUGGCCGGGCGACGGUUGUCCCGGUUUAAGCGUGUAGGCUGGUUUUCCAGGCAAAUCCGGAGAAUCAAGGCUGAGGCGUGAUGACGAGGCACUACGGUGCUGAAGCAACAAAUGCCCUGCUUCCAGGAAAAGCCUCUAAGCAUCAGGUAACAUCAAAUCGUACCCCAAACCGACACAGGUGGUCAGGUAGAGAAUACCAAGGCGCUUGAGAGAACUCGGGUGAAGGAACUAGGCAAAAUGGUGCCGUAACUUCGGGAGAAGGCACGCUGAUGGUAGGUGAAGCGACUUGCUCGUGGAGCUGAAAUCAGUCGAAGAUACCAGCUGGCUGCAACUGUUUAUUAAAAACACAGCACUGUGCAAACACGAAAGUGGACGUAUACGGUGUGACGCCUGCCCGGUGCCGGAAGGUUAAUUGAUGGGGUCAGCGCAAGCGAAGCUCUUGAUCGAAGCCCCGGUAAACGGCGGCCGUAACUAUAACGGUCCUAAGGUAGCGAAAUUCCUUGUCGGGUAAGUUCCGACCUGCACGAAUGGCGUAAUGAUGGCCAGGCUGUCUCCACCCGAGACUCAGUGAAAUUGAACUCGCUGUGAAGAUGCAGUGUACCCGCGGCAAGACGGAAAGACCCCGUGAACCUUUACUAUAGCUUGACACUGAACACUGGUCCUUGAUGUGUAGGAUAGGUGGGAGGCUUUGAAGUGUGGACGCCAGUCUGCAUGGAGCCGUCCUUGAAAUACCACCCUUUAAUGGCUGGUGUUCUAACGUGGGCCCGUAAUCCGGGUUGCGGACAGUGUCUGGUGGGUAGUUUGACUGGGGCGGUCUCCUCCUAAAGAGUAACGGAGGAGCACGAAGGUUGGCUAAUCCUGGUCGGACAUCAGGAGGUUAGUGCAAUGGCAUAAGCCAGCUUGACUGCGAGCGUGACGGCGCGAGCAGGUGCGAAAGCAGGUCAUAGUGAUCCGGUGGUUCUGAAUGGAAGGGCCAUCGCUCAACGGAUAAAAGGUACUCCGGGGAUAACAGGCUGAUACCGCCCAAGAGUUCAUAUCGACGGCGGUGUUUGGCACCUCGAUGUCGGCUCAUCACAUCCUGGGGCUGAAGUAGGUCCCAAGGGUAUGGCUGUUCGCCAUUUAAAGUGGUACGCGAGCUGGGUUUAGAACGUCGUGAGACAGUUCGGUCCCUAUCUGUCGUGGGCGCUGGAGAACUGAGGGGGGCUGCUCCUAGUACGAGAGGACCGGAGUGGACGCAUCACUGGUGUUCGGGUUGUCAUGCCAAUGGCACUGCCCGGUAGCUAAAUGCGGAAGAGAUAAGUGCUGAAAGCAUCUAAGCACGAAACUUGCCCCGAGAUGAGUUCUCCCUGAGACUUUAAGUCUCCUGAAGGAACGUUGAAGACGACGACGUUGAUAGGCCGGGUGUGUAAGCGCAGCGAUGCGUUGAGCUAACCGGUACUAAUGAACCGUGAGGCUUAACCUU